Molecule: ribosomal RNA, 506 nt
Filed under: uncultured bacterium
Lineage: Bacteria
Description: partial 16S ribosomal RNA
Rfam family: Bacterial small subunit ribosomal RNA
Source: RNAcentral
GAUGAACGCUAGCUACAGGCUUAACACAUGCAAGUCGAGGGGUAACGAGAGGAAAGCUUGCUUUCCUUGUCGACGACCGGCGCACGGGUGAGUAACGCGUAUCCAACCUGCCCCCAACUAGGGAAUAACCUUGCGAAAGUAAGACUAAUACCCUAUAAUUUCCUCAGAUGACAUCUGACGAGGAAUAAAGAUUUAUCGGUUGUGGAUGGGGAUGCGUCUGAUUAGCUUGUUGGCGGGGUAACGGCCCACCAAGGCAACGAUCAGUAGGGGUUCUGAGAGGAAGGUCCCCCACAGUGGGACUGAGACACGGUCCAAACUCCUACGGGAGGCAGCAGUGAGGAAUAUUGGUCAAUGGGCGGAAGCCUGAACCAGCCAAGUAGCGUGCAGUAUGACGGCCCUAUGGGUCGUAAACUGCUUUUAUACAGGAAUAAAGUUAGCCACGUGUGGUCAUUUGUAGGUACUGUAUGAAUAAGGACCGGCUAAUUCCGUGCCAGCCGCCGCCGUAA